CACGUAGGGGACGAGCGUUGUCCGGAUUCAUUGGGCGUAAAGCGCGCGUAGGCGGCUCGGAAAGUCGGGCGUGAAAUGCCGGGGCUCAACCCCGGGACUGCGUCCGAUACUGGUUGGCUUGAAUCCGGGAGAGGGAUGCGGAAUUCCUGGUGUAGCGGUGAAAUGCGCAGAUAUCAGGAGGAACACCGGUGGCGAAGGCGGGUCUCUGGGCAGUAACUGACGCUGAGGAGCGAAAGCGUGGGGAGCGAACAGG
RNAcentral lists this ribosomal RNA (253 nucleotides) under uncultured bacterium. RNAcentral's name for it is "partial 16S ribosomal RNA". It matches the Rfam family "Bacterial small subunit ribosomal RNA", at positions 524 to 776 of the family's 1533-position model. The record is from RNAcentral.